RNAcentral lists this unclassified non-coding RNA (305 nucleotides) under Hevea brasiliensis (rubber tree). Lineage: Eukaryota; Viridiplantae; Streptophyta; Magnoliopsida; Malpighiales; Euphorbiaceae. The record is from RNAcentral.
GUCCGCUUCUGCUCCAACUCUCGUCUCAGCUCCUCCACCGCCGGAGAACGAGAUAUUGGAGGGGAGGCCGAAGACAGUGGAGGAGUAUCUUGAGUGAAAGUUGAAGUCAGAACAUAGCCGCGGCAAAAUCGUCCACCUCUACCGCCCCCACCACCGCGCUGCAAUGACGGAGAUGGAGAUGAUGAUUGCUGUUCUCGGCCAGAAUCCUGCCGGCCACCGCGAGACAUUGUGUCAAACGGUCACAACAAGCAGAGAAACAGCAAAAGAAAAACCGAAGAAAGCAACCGAUAAUUCUGAGAGAGAAA